CAUGCUAAAAACCCCGACUUCGGAAGGGGUGUAUUUAUUAGAUAAAAAACCAAUGCCCUUCGGGGCUCCUUGGUGAUUCAUAAUAACUUAACGAAUCGCAUGGCCUUGUGCCGGCGAUGGUUCAUUCAAAUUUCUGCCCUAUCAACUUUCGAUUGUAGUGUAGUGGACUACAAUGGUUUCAACGGGUAACGGGGAAUUAGGGUUCUAUUCCGGAGAGGGAGCCUGAGAAACGGCUACCACAUCCAAGGAAGGCAGCAGGCGCGCAAAUUACCCAAUCCCGACACGGGGAGGUAGUGACAAUAAAUACUGAUACAGGGCUCUUUUGGGUCUUGUAAUUGGAAUGAGUACAAUUUAAAUCCCUUAACGAGGAACAAUUGGAGGGCAAGUCUGGUGCCAGCAGCCGCGGUAAUUCCAGCUCCAAUAGCGUAUAUUAAAGUUGUUGCAGUUAAAAAGCUCGUAGUUGAACCUUGGGCCUGGCUGGCCGGUCCGCCUCACCGCGUGCACUGGUCCGGCCGGGUCUUUCCUUCUGGGGAGCCGCAUGCCCUUCACUGGGUGUGU
Molecule: ribosomal RNA, 558 nt
Filed under: fungal sp.
Lineage: Eukaryota; Fungi
Description: SSU rRNA
Rfam family: Eukaryotic small subunit ribosomal RNA
Source: RNAcentral